GACGAACGCUGGCGGCGUGCUUAACACAUGCAAGUCGAACGGAAAGGCCCUGCUUUUGUGGGGUGCUCGAGUGGCGAACGGGUGAGUAACACGUGAGUAACCUGCCCUUGACUUUGGGAUAACUUCAGGAAACUGGGGCUAAUACCGGAUAGGAGCUCCUGCUGCAUGGUGGGGGUUGGAAAGUUUCGGCGGUUGGGGAUGGACUCGCGGCUUAUCAGCUUGUUGGUGGGGUAGUGGCUUACCAAGGCUUUGACGGGUAGCCGGCCUGAGAGGGUGACCGGCCACAUUGGGACUGAGAUACGGCCCAGACUCCUACGUGAGGCAGCAGUGGGGAAUAUUGCACAAUGGGCGGAAGCCUGAUGCAGCAACGCCGCGUGCGGGAUGACGGCCUUCGGGUUGUAAACCGCUUUCGCCUGUGAUGAAGCGUGAGUGACGGUAAUGGGUAAAGAAGCACCGGCUAACUACGUG
This 468-nucleotide ribosomal RNA is filed under the name uncultured bacterium. RNAcentral's name for it is "partial 16S ribosomal RNA". It matches the Rfam family "Bacterial small subunit ribosomal RNA", at positions 28 to 507 of the family's 1533-position model. The record is from RNAcentral.